CAGUAGCCACGGGAAUACGGAGGGUGCAAGCGUUAAUCGGAAUUACUGGGCGUAAAGCGCACGCAGGCGGUCUGACAAGUCAGAUGUGAAAUCCCCGGGCUUAACCUGGGAACUGCAUUUGAAACUGUCAGGCUGGAGUCUUGUAGAGGGGGGUAGAAUUCCAGGUGUAGCGGUGAAAUGCGUAGAGAUCUGGAGGAAUACCGGUGGCGAAGGCGGCCCCCUGGACAAAGACUGACGCUCAGGUGCGAAAGCGUGGGGAGCAAACAGGAUUAGAUACCCCAGUAGUCCCUGUCUCUUAUAA
RNAcentral lists this ribosomal RNA (301 nucleotides) under uncultured bacterium. RNAcentral describes it as "partial 16S ribosomal RNA". It matches the Rfam family "Bacterial small subunit ribosomal RNA", at positions 509 to 809 of the family's 1533-position model. The record is from RNAcentral.